GUGGGGAAUCUUAGACAAUGGGGGAAACCCUGAUCUAGCCAUGCCGCGUGAUCGAUGAAGGCCUUAGGGUUGUAAAGAUCUUUCGCUGGGGAAGAUAAUGACUGUACCCAGUAAAGAAGCCCCGGCUAACUCCGUGCCAGCAGCCGCGGUAAUACGGAGGGGGCUAGCGUUAUUCGGAAUUACUGGGCGUAAAGCGCACGUAGGCGGACCAGAAAGUUGGGGGUGAAAUCCCGGGGCUCAACCUGGGAACUGCCUUCAAAACUCCUGGUCUUGAGUUCGAGAGAGGUGAGUGGAAUUCCGAGUGUAGAGGUGAAAUUCGUAGAUAUUCGGAGGAACACCAGUGGCGAAGGCGGCUCACUGGCUCGAUACUGACGCUGAGGUGCGAAAGCGUGGGGAGCAAACAGGAUUAGAAACCCCGGUAGUCC
RNAcentral lists this ribosomal RNA (425 nucleotides) under uncultured bacterium. RNAcentral's name for it is "partial 16S ribosomal RNA". It matches the Rfam family "Bacterial small subunit ribosomal RNA", at positions 354 to 796 of the family's 1533-position model. The record is from RNAcentral.